GAUGAACGCUGGCGGCGUGCCUAAUACAUGCAAGUCGAGCGAACGGACGAGAAGCUUGCUUCUCUGAUGUUAGCGGCGGACGGGUGAGUAACACGUGGAUAACCUACCUAUAAGACUGGGAUAACUUCGGGAAACCGGAGCUAAUACCGGAUGAUAUUUUGAACCGCAUGGUUCAAAAGUGAAAGACGGCCUUGCUGUCACUUAUAGAUGGAUCCGCGCCGCAUUAGCUAGUUGGUAAGGUAACGGCUUACCAAGGCAACGAUGCAUAGCCGACCUGAGAGGGUGAUCGGCCACACUGGAACUGAGACACGGUCCAGACUCCUACGGGAGGCAGCAGUAGGGAAUCUUCCGCAAUGGGCGAAAGCCUGACGGAGCAACGCCGCGUGAGUGAUGAAGGUCUUCGGAUCGUAAAACUCUGUUAUUAGGGAAGAACAUAUGUGUAAGUAACUGUGCACAUCUUGACGGUACCUAAUCAGAAAGCCACGGCUAACUACGUG
This 497-nucleotide ribosomal RNA is filed under the name uncultured bacterium. Its description in RNAcentral is "partial 16S ribosomal RNA". It matches the Rfam family "Bacterial small subunit ribosomal RNA", at positions 28 to 507 of the family's 1533-position model. The record is from RNAcentral.